This 1972-nucleotide long non-coding RNA is filed under the name Pseudonaja textilis. RNAcentral's name for it is "lncRNA (ENSPTXG00000018579.1)". Lineage: Eukaryota; Metazoa; Chordata; Lepidosauria; Squamata; Elapidae. The record is from RNAcentral.
CGCCUUUUCUUUGCUCCGCCUCCCGGCCCAGGGUUGGGGGAGGGGGGCGCAGCUCCGCCCAUCGCGAGAGGGGAUAAACGGGAGGGGGGGACGAGGAGGAGCCUCUGGAGGGGGGGGGCGUGCUCAGCGCCACAGCAGCAGCAGCAGCAUCUGCCAGCAUCCGCAUCCCCGCCGCCGCCGCUCCUUCCUGCAGCCAUGCCGGUCUUCGUCAUCUCCACCAACGUCUCGCGGGACGCGCUGCCCGAGGGGCUGCUGGCCGAGCUCACCGAGGAGCUGGCCAAGGCCACGGGCAAGCCGGCGCAGUACGUCUCCGUGCAAGUGAACCCGGACCAGGUGAUGUCCUUCGGGGGCUCCAGCGCGCCCUGCGCCGUAUGCAGCCUCCACAGCAUCGGCAAAAUCAGCGCGCCGCAGAACAAGGCCUACAGCGCCAUGCUGAGCGCGCUCCUGACCAAGCGCCUGCGCGUGCCCGCCGACAGGGUCUACAUCAACUUCCACGACAUGGCCCCGGCCAACGUGGGAUGGAACGGCUCCACCUUCGCGUAGCAGCGGCGCCGGCGCCGGGAAGGGGCGGGGCUUGGGGGCGGGGCAAUAAAGGCUUCUGAACAGUCCUUCUGACUCCGGCUGUCUUAUUGGCGCGGGCGAAGGGCGGUGGGAGGGGGGGUGGCCUGGGCCCCCUCCAGCGUCAUCAGAGCGCGCCGCCGGCAGGCAUGGCGCUCUUCGUGGUUCCCAGGUAUGUUAGUGAUGAAGAGGAUAAUCCAGAAUGUAAGUCCCAGUUGCUCUUACAUCGGCUGCAGGAGCAAGCAAAGACUCGGCAGCUGCAAAAACAGGAACAGAACUGGCCCACUUCUGGGCAACGAAAGAGAUUGGCGCCUGGAGCCCCUGAAGAAGAGACCAACGAGGAAUUAAAGCAAACAAGCAAAAAGAAGAAAGUAAGUCAGGAAUCUCUUUCAGCCCAAAGUCACAGAGAAAAGGAGCCAAGACGACAUACUUUUGGGGCAGAAAGUUUGCCCGAGAAAGAUGGCUCAAGCAAACGUAAGAAGAAUGGUGGGAAUUCUAGAACACCUCAAGGAAAGACAGAAGCAGUUCAAGGAGAUGAAGGUAUGUUGGAGACUCAUCCGGAAAGUCGAGCUACCCCAGAAGAAGAAGGUAUGGGAGGUUUUGGAGACAAAGAGAGCCAAGCCAGUAAGGAUCAGAGGAUGCAGGCAUCAAAUCCAAGGACAGCUUCUUCACCUUCCAGCAUGAUUGUCCUUGGUCCUUCUGAUCAAAGGAAUCUGCACAAGGUAACAUGAUGGUUAACCAACAUCAAAUCAAACCUUUACUAUGGCCAGGGUCCAAAAGGAGUUUGGGGUGCAGUCAAUUUAAAAGUCCAAAAACUACUUCAGUCUAAAACUGCAAGCAAAAGCCAGCCCAAAACACUUAUCAGCUCCCCCAGAAGGAGAAGGAACCCACACACACCCCCACUCCCAAACUACACCUAGCCAUUUCAUUGAGAAAGUCUUCUCCUCACCAAGGCUCCUGGCUGGCAGUUCCUGCCACACUUAUUUAAUGAAAACUCUGCCUUUUUAAUUUGCAGGGCCGCUGCCUCCUUGGCCCCGGUUUAAGGCAGAUUGUUUGAGCGUUGGAGAAGAACAGAAACCUUGACGGGAGCUAUUGAGAGGGUGGGUGGGGCUUCCCUUCGUGGGUGGGUGGGUCCAGAGCAGAGGCUUCUAGGGAUUCCUGCCUAGGUUGGGCUCUCAAGAAGGUGAGGGCUCUGCGUUUAACUUCCAGGUGCCGCCUUUUGUGCCACGGUGGUUCAGCCAGCCGCAGCAGUUCCAGAGGCAGAUCCGAGAGAACCUCGUCCCUCUCCAGGAUGUUCCAGUCAUUCACCCUAAGCUGAGAAAGAAGCUGCUAGCCAAUGGAAUAGCCUCUCUCUUCCCAGGUAUCACAAGCAGGAGGAGAGCCGGCCACAUAUUUCUGAAGUUCAUUUGCCAAG